RNAcentral lists this transfer RNA (72 nucleotides) under Charadrius vociferus (killdeer). It matches the Rfam family "tRNA". Rfam says of the family: Transfer RNA (tRNA) molecules are approximately 80 nucleotides in length. Their secondary structure includes four short double-helical elements and three loops (D, anti-codon, and T loops). The record is from Rfam by way of RNAcentral. Lineage: Eukaryota; Metazoa; Chordata; Aves; Charadriiformes; Charadriidae.
GGGAAUGUCACUCAGUGGGAGAGUACUUGAUUUGCACGUAAAAGGCCCUGGGUUCAACACCCAGCAUCUCCA